UACGUAGGGUGCAAGCGUUGUCCGGAAUUAUUGGGCGUAAAGAGCUCGUAGGCGGUUCGUCGCGUCGGCUGUGAAAACCCGAGGCUCAACCUCGGGCCUGCAGUCGAUACGGGCGGACUGGAGUUCGGCAGGGGAGACUGGAAUUCCCGGUGUAGCGGUGAAAUGUGUAGAGAUCGGGAGGAACACCGGUGGCGAAGGCGGGUCUCUGGGCAAUUCCUGACGCUGAGGCGCGAAAGCGUGGGGAGCAAACGGG
RNAcentral lists this ribosomal RNA (253 nucleotides) under uncultured bacterium. RNAcentral's name for it is "partial 16S ribosomal RNA". It matches the Rfam family "Bacterial small subunit ribosomal RNA", at positions 524 to 776 of the family's 1533-position model. The record is from RNAcentral.